Magnolia sinica is the source of this 690-nucleotide long non-coding RNA. RefSeq lists it as uncharacterized. The transcript has 2 exons. The record is from RefSeq and is a predicted model, not a curated record. Lineage: Eukaryota; Viridiplantae; Streptophyta; Magnoliopsida; Magnoliales; Magnoliaceae.
UAUUCUUAUUUCUAGACUUCCCAAACUAUCGUUUGAAAUUCUGAAAAUGGUGUUGGAAGGGUUAUCAGGAAGCUUAGAUGACGGUCUGAUGAAGGGGGGUAUUUUCGUCAUUGUUCAAGCACUGGUCUGUCUAAUCAUUCUCUCCAGUUCAUCAGACGUCUUCUCUACCAAGAUGAGAUCGUUGAGUUUCAAAGCUUCACAGUCGAUCAACAUGGGCCGGAUUUUUGAGGGGCUUUCGGAUGUCUCAUUUGGUGGUGGGCCAUCUCCAUCAUCAAGGAAUCUGCGAUCGUGGGAGAGAGAGAGAGAGAGAGAGAGAGGCUAUUCUUUUGUUAUUUGGAAUUGUAUGUAUUUGAAAUUUACCUGUAUUGGGAUUCGUUAAUUCUUAUAUUAGUUGAAUGGAAAAAAUUUGAUACUCGGGCAGGGGUGAUGGAUGAUAUGCAGGCGAUGCAUGUAACUUAUUAUUAUUUGUAAAAGGGUUUUGGGAUGGUACAACCACAAGCUGUGGGUUUUAGAUGAAUUGGAAAUGGGAAGAGAAGUUACUUAUCGGUAGAUGUUUAAAGUGGGAAUUUCUAUUAGCCAGAGAAGGCUAGGAUCAUUGUUAUAUUGUGGACCACUGGAAAUAGGGCCCCACCCAAUGUUUUAAAUCAGUACAUUGGGUAUUGUAUUGUUCACAACUAAUACGGAUCUGUA